Molecule: unclassified non-coding RNA, 162 nt
Filed under: soil metagenome
Description: partial internal transcribed spacer 1
Source: RNAcentral
UCGAGUUUACAACUCCCAAACCCCAUGUGAACCUUACCAUCACGUUGCUUCGGCGGUCACGCCCCGGCGCCCCCGUGCCCGGAACCAGGCGCCCGCCGGAGGACCAUCAAACUAUUGUUGUAUCUAGUGGCAUUGUCUGAGUGGCGUAAAGCAAAUCAAUCA